UACGUAGGGUGCGAGCGUUUGUCCGGAAUUAUUGGGCGUAAAGGGCUCGUAGGCGGUUUGUCGCGUCGGGAGUGAAAUCCACUGGCUUAACUGGUGGCUUGCUUUCGAUACGGGCAGACUGGAGGUAUGCAGGGGAGAACGGAAUUCCUGGUGUAGCGGUGAAAUGCGCAGAUAUCAGGAGGAACACCGGUGGCGAAGGCGGUUCUCUGGGCAUGUCCUGACGCUGAGGAGCGAAAGUGUGGGGAGCAAACAGG
Molecule: ribosomal RNA, 254 nt
Filed under: uncultured bacterium
Lineage: Bacteria
Description: partial 16S ribosomal RNA
Rfam family: Bacterial small subunit ribosomal RNA
Source: RNAcentral